RNAcentral lists this long non-coding RNA (255 nucleotides) under Lupinus angustifolius (narrow-leaved blue lupine). RNAcentral describes it as "long non-coding RNA (LANG_LNC002867)". The record is from RNAcentral. Lineage: Eukaryota; Viridiplantae; Streptophyta; Magnoliopsida; Fabales; Fabaceae.
CUGCCCCUCCCACUCCAACUACUCCAACCCCCACCACCACCCCUGCUCCUCCCACUCCUCAAGCUUCACCUCCACCCGUUCAAUCUUCUCCUCCACCGCUUCAAUCCUCUCCUCCACCGCUUCAAUCUUCUCCUCCACCAGCCCAAUCACCACCACCGGUACAAUCACCACCACCAGUGAGCUCCCCCCCACCGGCACAAUCGCCACCACCAGUGAGCUCCCCACCACCGGUACAAUCACCACCACCAGUGAGCU